Molecule: ribosomal RNA, 509 nt
Filed under: uncultured bacterium
Lineage: Bacteria
Description: bacterial SSU rRNA
Rfam family: Bacterial small subunit ribosomal RNA
Source: RNAcentral
GAUGAACGUUAGCGGGAGGCUUAAUACAUGCAAGUCGAGCGGUAAGUUUUUUAUAGCAAUAUGAAGACCUAGAGCGGCGCACGGGUGAGUAACGCGUACACGACCUGGCCUAAACUGGGGGAUAGCCUUGGGAAACUGAGAGUAAUCCCGCAUGUGAUUAUGUUACUGAUGGUGAUAUAAUUAAAGCUUCGGCGGUUUAGGAUGGGUGUGCGUCUGAUUAGCUAGUUGGUGGGAUAGCAGCCUACCAAGGCAACGAUCAGUAGCCGGCCUGAGAGGGUGGACGGCCACACUGGGACUGAGACACGGCCCAGACUCCUACGGGAGGCAGCAGUGGGGAAUAUUGCGCAAUGGGGGAAACCCUGACGCAGCGACGCCGCGUGAGCGAAGAAGGCCUUAGGGUCGUAAAAGCUCUGUUGUAAGGGGACGAAAUGUUUUAAUCUGGCGAACAGUCAGAUAAAGUGACGGUACCUUACCAGCAAGCCCCGGCUAACUACGUGCCAGCAGCCGAC